This is a non-coding RNA of Microcebus murinus (gray mouse lemur), 1686 nucleotides long. The record is from RefSeq and is a predicted model, not a curated record. NCBI's taxonomy places the organism in Eukaryota, Metazoa, Chordata, Mammalia, Primates, Cheirogaleidae.
ACGUUUGCGCGCGCUUCCGAAAGUCUGGGCAGCCGCGGGAACUGAUGCGAGUGCCCAGAGGCCCGGGAGGAGACGCCGGGAGGCGGGGGCGGGGCCUGCGCCUCAGCAAAGGGGGAGGACUGGGACAGGUGGUGGGGACAGAGCGGGAGGAGCGGGACUUUGGCAAAGCGCGAAGCGAGGGGCCCGCAGGUAGUGGAGGCAUCUGGUGGAAUAUGGCGGGGCCUUAAACAGAGACUGAGAAGCCAGGACCCAGUGGGUGAAGCCGUAAGAGACGUGGUCUCUGGGCUCGGAGUUAGUCCGCUUCCGAGUGGGCGGGGACGUGUUAGCCCAGCAGCAUGGGGCAUCGAACUCUGGCCUCCGCCCCGGCCCUGUGGGCCUCCAUUCCGUGUCCAUUCUCCGAGCUGCGCCUGGACCUGGUUCUGGCUUCUGGCCAGUCCUUCCGGUGGAGGGAGCAAAGCCCUGCACACUGGAGUGGUGUGCUGGCGGACCAAGUGUGGACGCUGACUCAAACUGAAGAGAAGCUCUACUGCACUGUGUACCGGGGGGACGCGGGCUGGGUUGGCAGGCCCACACUGGAGGAGCUGGAGGCUGUCCGCGAUUACUUCCAGCUAGAUGUCUGCCUGGCUCAACUGUAUCACCACUGGGGUUCCGUGGACUCCCACUUCCAAGAGGUAGCUCAGAAGUUCCAAGGUGUGCGACUGCUGCGACAGGACCCCAUUGAAUGCCUUUUCUCUUUCAUCUGUUCCUCCAACAACAACAUUGCCCGCAUCACUGGCAUGGUGGAGCGGCUGUGCCAGGCCUUUGGACCUCGGCUCAUACAGCUUGAUGAUGUCACCUACCAUGGCUUCCCUAGCCUGCAGGACCUGGCUGAUCGUGGGUGUGACACACUCUUUGGAAAGAUUAAAGAACUCAAAUGGGGAGCCGAGAAGAACAGCAAGUCCUUCCCAGUCCCAGGACUAGAGUUGGGCUCCAGUGCCCAGGCCGGAGGUAGAGGCUCAUCUCAGAAAGCUGGGCCUGGGCUACCGUGCCCACUACGUGAGUGCCAGUGCCCGAGCCAUCCUGGAAGAACAGGGCGGGCUGGCCUGGCUGCAGCAGCUGCGGGAGGCCCCCUACGAGGAGGCCCACAAGGCCCUCUGUGCCCUGCCCGGGGUGGGCACCAAGGUGGCUGAUUGCAUCUGCCUGAUGGCCCUAGACAAGCCCCAGGCUGUGCCCGUGGAUGUCCACGUGUGGCAGAUCGCCCGGCGUGACUAUGGCUGGCACCCCACCACGUCCCAGGCGAAGGGCCUGAGCCCCCAGACCAACAAGGAGCUGGGAAACUUUUUCCGGAGCCUCUGGGGACCUUAUGCUGGCUGGGCCCAAGCGGUGCUGUUCAGUGCUGACCUACGCCAGUCCCACUGCGCUCAGCAGCCGCCAGCAAAGCGCAGAAAGCGGUCCAAAGGGCCUGAAGGCUAGGUGGGAGGGCACUGGGCAAAGGAAUUCUAUCCCCUUCAUUCAUUUCUCCAUCCCCAUCUAGUCUCAUCUUGGAGAGGGCCCUCCCUGCAACUACCUCAGGUGCCAGGCACCCACAAAUCAAGCAGUUUGCACAAGAUAGGGUGGGGGCUAUUUGGAGAGACAGUUAUUUAUGGUUUUAUCUUCUUCCCUUUAUUAUAAGAAGGAACAAUAAAAUAGAAACAUUUGUAUGGAAAA